GUUAACAGCCGUGCAUUCAAAAUUUUAGCUCCCUUUUGAAAUGUGUGAGCUCCAAAACGACCUGGCAAUGUAGAUCUUCACUUGGAUAAUCCAGUUGUUGUGUGUCUGUUGUAGUGUUUCAGCGACUUACACUAACAACAUGUUUCCUGGGAGAACCACUGCUCUUCUUGUUUUGUUUGCUCCGUUGGGGUUUUCUCUGACUUGUUUAAAUAUGACUAAUACAGCAGACUGGUCUGUAAGUGCAACUUGUUCGGACACGUCGACAGCCAAACCUAAAAAGUGUCUCUGGGAUGCUGUUAAUACAAAGACAGGUCAGCGUGUUGGCAAUGCUCUUACUUCGGUCUCUGAUAGGUCAUAUUUCUACUGUUCUGAAACAUUCCUGUUACCGUUGUCAGCCGGAGAGUACGACUACUACAUCUUACUUCCAAACGGAUGGACUUUUGCCUUUCAGCUACAGAUUGUCGACCCAGGGGAGCCAACUGUGGAGUAUUGUAAGCAUUAUGUGCGUGAAGGGGAGAACGUAAGGUGCCUAUGUUCAACACAAAAUGAAGGCAACCCCCCGCCAGUCAUUUCAUGGGAAGGACAGGGAACCUCUCCAAUACUUCUCCUGGAUGCUGUCAGUCGUGAAGACAGCAAGAAUUACAAAUGUAAAAUGAUUUGGGGCAACCGAACAAAAACGGUCUCCUACGAUCUCUACGUGCGAACUGACUCACCUGUUUCCUAUCGUCUAACGACAACCGUUAAACCAUCUACCUUUCUGAGCAGAAAACCAACCACCUUUUACGUCCAGACAUUUACUGAAAGCAUCGAUGAGGUCGAGAGAGAUGAAAAUAAAAAUGCCUCAUCACUGCCGAUCGGUAUCAUAGUAGCUGCAGCGGCUGCUGUCUUGGUCCUUAAUGUAGCUACCACAGUCAUCGUGAUUUUUAUCAUUCGUAGGAAAAGCAAGUAUUUUCUUUCACUCUGGUCAAACAAUUAUUGUGUGUCCUUUUCAACUGACAUCUUAAAACUGUGUAAGAGAUAUUUAGUAGACAACCAAUACAAAUAAUGCUUGUGGCACCGAAUGCAUGUAAAUCGAAUAAGGACAGCUCCUUUAACCGGCUAUUCGCGGUUUGCUAGUCGAGACCUAAACGCGUUUAGGGUCUAUAGGGAUUACACGUGCACUGAGUUGUAGUCGGGCUCCAUUAGCUUUUUGCUACUGGCAGCGGGGACAACUGCUUAUAUUUUUUAGAAGCGGCGAAAAUCCGAUGGCGUUUCAGUGAAGAUAAAGAAGGCUAACUGCUUCUUCUCACAGCCUCGUUCUUCUUUCCGAGUUGUCACCUAACUAGUUAGAGAGUCAAUGUCUAAAGGUUAGAUAUUUGACCCUAAUGUAGUCGAGAUGCGAAUGACUCGAAUGUGAGGCAGUGACCUUUGGCCUUUGUGUGAUUGAGUGGCUGGUAGUGACGUGUAAUACUGGGUGGGAUGAGAGUUACCUCUGAAACUCUGCAUGACUAACCCUUCACGUUCCAUCCUCUUAUACAUCGUACCCGUAUUCCGAAACUUUUUAGAAGAUAUCCUCUUCUGUUGCUGUGAGCCCCUCCUCUCCCCGAACCGUCUCCCCCUCCCUCUCGAAAAAACCACAGGUCGCCGGACAUCCGUUACAGAUCCAUUGACCACCGAAGUCGAAAAUGCUCAAAAGCAACUUCAUGAAUGUUUCAACAUUGAUAGAGGAGAUCUCCAUUGAACACCAGAUUUUAUGUGGGUGUCACAGUGACACUGUGAAUCAACUAAAAAGAAAUGAAAUUUGGAUUGCCAUUGCGGGAAAGGUGAGUGCCUGUGGGGUGGUACUGAGAACUGCCCAAGAAUGUCACGAUAACUGGUGAAGCAUGACAGGUAAAUAUAGACAAUUAUAAUCUGUGUUUAGUCGAUAUUUGUGUUCAAUUGGUUACAUAAGUCCACUGAUAACCCAUAUAUGCUUUAUUAUUAGAGACAAAACAACUUAAUGAUUAAAAGUGAGAGUUGUACUGGGAUUUGAAAAGUGUAGACUUAUAGUACAUAUUAAAACCAUUACAUUUACUUGUGUCGUAAUUCAUGCACGUAGUUCAUAUUUGUCAGGAUGUUAUUAUUUUGUGACGCUAUUGUUCUUUGUAGACAUGUAUUUGACUGUUGGUUUGUUGUUUUGUUUUGUAAGCAAGCAGCAUAGGAAGCGGUGAUAAGCGGAGCCUGCAAAGCGGCAGUUACACCCUCACAAAAAGAUACUGAGGAAGUAAAGAUGUGAACAUCGGUUACUGUCAGCAUGUAGUAUGUACCCCUCCCCAUCCCCAACAAAGCUGAGCAUCUUUCUACACCCCUGCAAUCCCUUGGAUGUCACACACUGAGAACAGACCCACAACAUAGACAGUAACCUUUACAAGUUCCAUUAUUAUUUGGACUGACUUAUUAAUCUCUUCUAAUGAGCAUUAUUAUUGUUAAUAUUUAAAAGAAGUUGUCCUGAACAAGCAGCGAGGUAACAAGAAAACUUGAAGAAGGCCAUCACUACCACCUGUACCAUAUGAAGAUUCCAUCCAGGGGAUAAUUGGUGACAAUACCGUCUUGAUUAUUGUAAUAACUGAUGCUCAGACAGGCCAUGCAGAGUGAUUUGAUGGAUCAAGACAUCAUGCUAAUUCCUGCCCUCAGCUGCCAGUAGUUACUUUGCCACCUCUACCAGGGAUACUACUUACAACGAACCAUUAAUCAUGAAUGAUAAUUAAGUUUAUAAGUUUUAUAACUUUAUAAUAAAGAUGUGUUUGAAAAGAAA
RNAcentral lists this unclassified non-coding RNA (2773 nucleotides) under Pomacea canaliculata. RNAcentral's name for it is "uncharacterized LOC112568675, transcript variant X12". Lineage: Eukaryota; Metazoa; Mollusca; Gastropoda; Architaenioglossa; Ampullariidae. The record is from RNAcentral.